GCGGCGGGGGAGUGCAGGGCCGUCAUGACGAUGACCCCGGGCGGCAGCGAGAGGCCGCCCAGCGCCGGGAUGGCCGAGAAGCUGCCGUACCUGAGCGGCUCAGAUACUUCCAGCACCUUUUCCGACGGGCGGCCAUCGGGCAGAGCCUCGCUCCGGGCACGCCGCGGGGCCGCGUCUAGCUGCCAGACGCCGCCGCGUUCAGUUCCAAAUGGUUAUCAAUUACGGUAAUUACGAUCGUAAUUAGAUUAAUGAACCGUUCGGAGCCCAACCUACCGAGCGCACCAACUUCAUCUUCUCCCGAGGCACCGAAAAGCGGGCUUUAUGUCAACAGAUACGAGCGCAGGGAGCGCGAACCUGAGCGAGAAGCCUCGCCCCGGGCUGGAACACGGCGGGAGGAGACCGGGAGCCGCUCUGCGUCCUCCCCUCGGCGGGGAAGGGACGAGCCCGGCGUGUAGCCGGCAAUACAAAGGCUGCCCGGAGAGGAAGGCGAGCGGAGCCGCACAGCCUCGGGGCCCCCGGCGGCGGCGGGCACACAUCGAUCACGCACCGAGAGGCCGCGUGCCCGGGGCUGAGUCCGCAGCCCGCACCGGGGACCGCCGGCGGGAGGCGGCCGUGGCCGUGCAUGUUCGCUCCCGCACGUCUAGCGUGCAGGAGCUGGGGUGCAGAGGUCAUAUUUGACAUUCGGGAGGAGGGGCGGGGGCAGAUUAAUUAAUAAAUUAAUGCCGCGGCGCCUUUUCUCGCCCGG
Phasianus colchicus (ring-necked pheasant) is the source of this 745-nucleotide long non-coding RNA. RefSeq lists it as uncharacterized. The record is from RefSeq and is a predicted model, not a curated record. NCBI's taxonomy places the organism in Eukaryota, Metazoa, Chordata, Aves, Galliformes, Phasianidae.